This is a long non-coding RNA of Strongylocentrotus purpuratus (purple sea urchin), 503 nucleotides long. RefSeq lists it as uncharacterized. Lineage: Eukaryota; Metazoa; Echinodermata; Echinoidea; Camarodonta; Strongylocentrotidae. The record is from RefSeq and is a predicted model, not a curated record. The transcript has 2 exons.
GUAAGAUUUAUGAUGAACACUGUAGCGUCAUAAGCAUGUUAUAUUGAAAUUGAAUCAUGUAUUCACAAACAAGUUCUCCUUUCCCUCUGAGAUUAUGUAACAGAGUUCCCCUGUUUGUUCAUGGAACAGCCCAGGGUCCAGUGGGGUGUUUGUUUAGGGCUAAUUUGCAUAAACUUGGCUUGUAGAGCAUCUCAUGGGAUGCAUGCAACAUCCUACAGUGCAGACCGAAUUACACAGGAAAGGAGUUAGCAACUCAAUUUAGAAUUGUGUGAAAGUUUGGAGGAUCGAUCUUUCAUUGUAAUCAUCUAUUAGAACCGGGAUAUUUAACAGUUGUAAACCACACUAUCAGUACGAUCGACGACACUAUUGCCACGACACUAUCCACUAUCGCGACUAUACUAUCGACAUCACUACCACUACACGUUUCUACAUUUGUUCUGGAUUUAUUGAGACUGUCGUCGAUGUUUAGACUUGAAUAAAGGCACGAGCUAGUUUAUACUGCA